This 824-nucleotide ribosomal RNA is filed under the name uncultured bacterium. RNAcentral describes it as "partial 16S ribosomal RNA". The stretch from base 524 to 824 matches the Rfam family "Bacterial small subunit ribosomal RNA", at positions 547 to 848 of the family's 1533-position model. The record is from RNAcentral.
UGGACGUGUGCGACUGUGCACUGCCUGCGGUUCUGGUUGUGCUCGCCUCCUGCUUCCGGGUACUUCUCUCCACGGGGGCGGGGUUCUUUUGCGUGUUGAGCUCGUUGUUGGGGCUUUACGGGCAUGGAGGUGCGAGACGAUCCCUUGCCCGGAUACGGCUUGAAUGCCUCAUCGGUCUGGGCGCUGUUUUUGAGCAACGCACUAUCGUUUUUCACUUUGUCGCGGGAUACCACAAUCUGCCGGUGCCGACCGGCAGAUUCUGCUAUCCCAUUUUUCCGGUCCCUAGCUAUGUGAUCCUCAAUGGACUGCACCCGCUGCUUGUUGGGCUUUUUAUCCGACUUCGGGGGCAGGCUAUCUGUCUGCAUUCGAUCUGGAUGAAAGCCGCCAUAACCUUGUCAAACAGUAAAAUGCGGGGCAUUUUGUUUAAAGUACUGUCCUGGAUCUACGGGAAAAUCCAACAUGGCUGACGAAUCUCACUCACGCACUUCCACAUUCCCUGAACCCAGGGUCACACUCUAUAAUCGGAAUUACUGGGCGUAAAGCGCACGCAGGCGGUCUGUCAAGAUGGAUGUGAAAUCCCCGGGCUCAACCUGGGAACUGCAUUCGAAACUGGCAGGCUGGAGUCUUGUAGAGGGGGGUAGAACUUCCAGGUGUAGCGAUGAAAUGCGUAUAGAUCUGGAGGAAUACCGGUGGCGAGGCGGCCCCCUGGACAAGACUGACGCUCAGGUGCGAAGCGGGGGGAGCAAACAUGAUUUAGAUACCCUGGUAGUCCACGCCAUAAACGAUGUCGAUUUGGAGGUUGUGCCAUUGAGGCGUGGCUUCCC